AUCCAGCUGACGAGUUCCAAAUAGGAUGAAAUGCGCGUUAUACUGGAU
Non-coding RNA from Schistosoma haematobium, 48 nucleotides. The record is from Rfam. NCBI's taxonomy places the organism in Eukaryota, Metazoa, Platyhelminthes, Trematoda, Strigeidida, Schistosomatidae.